Long non-coding RNA from Pomacea canaliculata, 2133 nucleotides. RefSeq lists it as uncharacterized. The transcript is spliced from 2 exons. NCBI's taxonomy places the organism in Eukaryota, Metazoa, Mollusca, Gastropoda, Architaenioglossa, Ampullariidae. The record is from RefSeq and is a predicted model, not a curated record.
UCCGAAAGCGAUUUACAUGAAAAAGGGAAAGGGUGUUGAAUUUGUAUUCUGUGUGUCAGUGCUUCGAAGUACUUUAGUCAUUGGAUUUCGGUAUUUUAUCACCGAUUGAGCUUUUAUUUUAUGUCAUAUUCACCUAGUUACAAUCAAAAGCGCGGGGCCCCUUGAAGCGCGGGGCCCUAGGCAGAUGCCUCGUCCGCCUGCCCCUAAGCACGGCCCUGGUUGUGCUUAAAGGCAGAACUUCUACUGUAUGGCAGGAAAGAUGGAUUUGAGCUGGCGGAGGGAGGUGACGGUGCUUGUGGGGCCAGAUGGAAGCAAAUAGCAAAGAAUGACAACUAGGGUAGGUGGCACAAUGUGUGCAUCUCCUCUAUCCCUUUUAAUAAAACCAUCUUUCCCACCAUAAGUUAGAAGUUUAGUUUAUAAAUGCUGCAUCAUACUAUGCUUCAUGUAAGCUAGAAAAUGUCUGUAAAAUAUAUUGCACUUGCACCCCUCUGCCCUGGGUUUCUAGUUCAAAAACACCAGAUAAAUGCAGCAUAUGUUGCUUAAUAACUAUAAGUAAUCAAUUGCACCAUCCAACAACAAUAAUAAGUAAAAAUUACAUAAAAACAUUUUAGUCGUAUGGUAAAACAGAUAAAAACAAAACUGAUAUCAGCUGGGAGCACAAUAAAAUCUAUCUCUUUCGAUUGAAAGUGUUUUUACUGUAAUUUCAUGCUUUCCUACAUCGAUGAUCAUUUGACAUGCUAGUACUCACAACAUUUGAAAAUAUAAGAUCAUCCAUUGAACCUAUUAUUCUUUGACUGGACCAUGUACAUUUACUGGUUUCAGUUAUUACAACAUAAUACAAAAUCCUUUAAAUAAUGAUUUUGCCCUUAUAGAGGCUCCAUAUAUCCUCUGUUGUUUCUGCACACAGUGUUUGAAUUUGUUGGUUUGAACACCUUCUGUCACAAAAGGUAAAACCCCUUACUCCCUGGUUAUUCAAGCUAUACUAAACACAACUGUGCUGUACUAUAACAAUAUAACAACACAAUUAUUUUCAUUUGAAACACAUUAUAGGAACAUGUUCAGAAAAACUGAACAGACAAAGUCUAUAGAUAUCACAUAUUUCCCUUCUAUGAGUUACUAGUAUACAGUUUGCAGUUAUUCAUCAGAUAUAAAAACAAUUUUAAAAGAAUUUUAUCUGUCCGAUCUGCCAAUGUCUUUAACUCUUUGUCUUUUCAUGCUCAAAGUUUUGUCACUUCCAAGACACAAACCAGCUUUCACUCCUUUGCUUAAAACAGUAAAAUCUUUAGUUUACAGAUCUAGUCAUUUUCUCAACAUUCAUGCAUGGUGUAUCACCAGUCUUUCUUUCAUUUGCUUUAAUUUGUACCCAAGCUAGCUGACAUACUUUUUUUUUUUACAUCUUUUUCUAGAAGAGAUCUAAAGAAUAUCAGAAUUACAUUUCUGUAUCAUUUUAUAAAAACUAAGAAUGGAUCUGAACAUCUCAACUAUGAGCCAAAAUUCUAGUUACUGCAUUUAUCCUAUUAGCCUAUUAGAAGAUUCCAAAGUGUUUAACAAAGCUUGUGGUUAAUUAAAAAUAAAUGCCCUGAUACGAAUACCUAACAUUAAGCUAGAUCAAAGAGAACAGAUCUGUUGCAAGCUGCAACUGAAGAAAUACUUGAGUUAAAUAUACUGUUCUAAAUGUUUGUCAUAUAGAAAGUGCAUCCUAACAUAAUGUACAUUCAAAAACUAUUGCAUGGAAAAGCAGCAACAAAAAACAUUUGGAAAAUAUUUAAAAUUUAAACUGCAUUUGUGAUAAAACAUUAGUUAACACUAUUUAUAAACAGUUUUUUCUUGUAACUUGUCAAAAUUGAUAAGUUGAUAUUAAGGUAGCCAUUUUAUCAAGUGGAACCUUUUUUUAUUCUGCAGUGUCUUGGACAACACUCUGUAAAAUGAGAGUGCAUUGCUACAAAAACAGAACCAUUUUAAAACUGAACAAUGUUCACAAUUGUUGAAUGCUCCUGCCUUUUAAGGAUCUUUGUACAGCAAGUGUCUGAUAGCAUCUGGUCUUUGGGCAUGACACAGCCGUCAUAAGAGAAGAAAAAUCACACGAAAUAAAUAAAUAAAGAUAAUGUUUGUAUUUACUUAUACAGAAAAAAA